Molecule: RNA transcript, 1671 nt
Organism: Oryza sativa Japonica Group (Japanese rice)
Lineage: Eukaryota; Viridiplantae; Streptophyta; Magnoliopsida; Poales; Poaceae
Source: RefSeq, a predicted model, not a curated record
GAACGUGGAGGCUCCUUUAUCUAUUCCUUUAAUAAUAUAAUAGAUAGAUAGAUUGCUAAAUAUAUCAUAUUAGGUGGGAGAAAGAGAUACUAUAAAUGAUGAAGUAGGUUUACUAUAUGCUUCCAUGAGAAUUUGUUUUGGUCAUUAAUACUUUGACGAACAAGUUAGUUGCUUCACCCAGCGCGCUUACAAAGGACAGAUAGACGAGAAAAAAGCACAUUAGUGCCCAUUUCGGGUGUUUCUUGUUUGGUAAUUUGGGGAGGCUUGCGUUUCUACUUGUGUCUUGUAGAGUUCCCUUUUCUCGUCAAAGGAUGAGAACUCUGCCAUGAAGUCCAAACUCUCCUUUUCCUUUUCUACUUUUCAAAGUAGCACUUGCAGUUAUGUAAUCCCUUACCCUAUCGAUGAUGCCAGAUAUCCAAUAUUCAGUACAGAAAGUUGGAUUUUGAGGAGAUUUCUGCUGCUGCCAUCAGCGUUUACCAGAUGGAAGGUUUGGAAACCUGGGAACAACAUGCCCGGCAAGCGUACGAGUUCUUUGAUAAGGAGGGUAACCGACCAAUUGUGAUCGACGAGCUCGCAUCGGAACUCGGACUCGGCCCUUCAGUUCCCCUACAUGUUGUUCUCCAAGAUUGGAUCAGACAUCCUGAUGGAAAACUCAGUUUCCUCGGAUUCAUGAAACUAUUGCAUGGAGUUUCGUCCCGUACCAUCCCAAAAACCUGAGAUAAUAACUUCUUUUCUUACAUCAAACCAAGGAAAAAGAGUGAUGACUAAAAUUAAUCUCUGGCUGUCUGGAGAAGCUGCAUGGAACCGGUACAAAGAUUAACAAAGCUGCCCUAGUGUGUAGCGAAAAGCUCUACUGUCAGCAUUUCUCAUUCCCUCACCAGAUGAUUGAUGGUGUGUUUGUAUUCAGGUUUGUUUUAGAGGCGAGUGUACAGAUGAGUUUAGGAAACAGGAAGAAAGUAGUGGUACAUGAGUUCUACUCCGGUGCUUUCUACUUAUAGUAGAAAAUAAUCUGAACCACUAAUCUCAUUUGAUCAAAGGGUUUAGAUCAAUUUCUACUACCACCUUAUUUAAUGGUAGUAGAAUCGUGGAUGGCUAUUAUUGUCCAAGAACAAAUAUUAGUGGAGGGGUAUAAUCAUCAUUUACAAUCACUGGCCCUAGCCGUACUCAACUCAAUCUUUCCUCACGUCGGCCAAAGAGAAUCGCAUAACUCCCCCAAAUUGCAUCCGGAGACGACGCCGAGUAUCUCCUCCCUGCCGCCGCCUCCGCCACUCGAUAGAAGUACACCAACGCCGGGGCGCACGUGUUCGUGACGAUGCUCCUGACCGUGGUGUUCACGGCAGCUGUGGCGUUGGCUCUUGUCAACGCCGUCAACUCGCAUGACUUCGCAGCACACCUCGCCGGCGUGGACUGCCGCAUGGGGCUAGCUGGUCCAGUACGAUGCCCAGCCUCGGGCUUCGUGGAGCUCCUCGUGCUGGCGCUACAUGUGGUUAGAUGCGUGCUCGCCAUCUUAGAUCGCCUGCAUGCCUGCCUAAUGUCGCCCUCGCUACAGCUUUCGAUUGCAUCUCCAUGUACGUGCGCCGGUGGCAGCGCGGCGAAGUGACCAAUGUACAUGAAGUAUACGUGCUAAGUAGGAUCGAAUUUGUUCCUUAUAUGGUGAACACUAACAGAAAA